RNAcentral lists this ribosomal RNA (470 nucleotides) under Veillonella dispar. RNAcentral describes it as "bacterial SSU rRNA". It matches the Rfam family "Bacterial small subunit ribosomal RNA", at positions 28 to 475 of the family's 1533-position model. Lineage: Bacteria; Bacillati; Bacillota; Negativicutes; Veillonellales; Veillonellaceae. The record is from RNAcentral.
GACGAACGCUGGCGGCGUGCUUAACACAUGCAAGUCGAACGAAGAGCGAUGGAAGCUUGCUUCUAUCAAUCUUAGUGGCGAACGGGUGAGUAACGCGUAAUCAACCUGCCCUUCAGAGGGGGACAACAGUUGGAAACGACUGCUAAUACCGCAUACGAUCUGACCUCGGCAUCGAGGAUGGAUGAAAGGUGGCCUCUAUUUAUAAGCUAUCACUGAAGGAGGGGAUUGCGUCUGAUUAGCUAGUUGGAGGGGUAACGGCCCACCAAGGCGAUGAUCAGUAGCCGGUCUGAGAGGAUGAACGGCCACAUUGGGACUGAGACACGGCCCAGGCUCCUACGGGAGGCAGCAGUGGGGAAUCUUCCGCAAUGGACGAAAGUCUGACGGAGCAACGCCGCGUGAGUGAUGACGGCCUUCGGGUUGUAAAGCUCUGUUAAUCGGGACGAAAGGCCUUCUUGCGAAUAGUUAGAAGG